RNAcentral lists this ribosomal RNA (496 nucleotides) under uncultured bacterium. Its description in RNAcentral is "partial 16S ribosomal RNA". It matches the Rfam family "Bacterial small subunit ribosomal RNA", at positions 28 to 507 of the family's 1533-position model. The record is from RNAcentral.
GAUGAACGCUGGCGGCGUGCCUAAUACAUGCAAGUCGAGCGAACAGACGAGGAGCUUGCUCCUCUGACGUUAGCGGCGGACGGGUGAGUAACACGUGGAUAACCUACCUAUAAGACUGGGAUAACUUCGGGAAACCGGAGCUAAUACCGGAUAAUAUAUUGAACCGCAUGGUUCAAUAGUGAAAGACGGUUUUGCUGUCACUUAUAGAUGGAUCCGCGCCGCAUUAGCUAGUUGGUAAGGUAACGGCUUACCAAGGCAACGAUGCGUAGCCGACUGAGAGGGUGAUCGGCCACACUGGAACUGAGACACGGUCCAGACUCCUACGGGAGGCAGCAGUAGGGAAUCUUCCGCAAUGGGCGAAAGCUUGACGGAGCAACGCCGCGUGAGUGAUGAAGGUCUUCGGAUCGUAAAACUCUGUUAUUAGGGAAGAACAAAUGUGUAAGUAACUAUGCACGUCUUGACGGUACCUAAUCAGAAAGCCACGGCUAACUACGUG